This 368-nucleotide long non-coding RNA is filed under the name Androctonus crassicauda. The record is from RNAcentral. Lineage: Eukaryota; Metazoa; Arthropoda; Arachnida; Scorpiones; Buthidae.
UUCCUAAAUUCAGUUUUACAAUCGGUAGCAAGCAGUGCGUGUCGUUUGACGUUGUGCCAGUCUUCGCGGCAGUCUGCGACGCGACGCGUCCCGUUCCCGUACUAUGCUACCUAUUCGCCUCUGUAACUCGUAAACGUUUGACCUUUGACCCCUGGUCCAAUGGGGUUGUUUUCUUGUCUCGACCCCCCUAUCGAUCGGUACCAUUUUUGCCGUGCUUUACAAAAACUGCAAUCUUACCGUAAGCUGAAUAUCAGUAUUCCUUGUAAACGAAGUAUGUCAACCUUUGCACGCCGUAUUCCUAAAUUCAGUUUUACAAUCGGUAGCAAGCAGUGCACGUGGUUUGACGUUGUGCCAGUGCUCGCGUCAGU